Molecule: ribosomal RNA, 253 nt
Filed under: uncultured bacterium
Lineage: Bacteria
Description: partial 16S ribosomal RNA
Rfam family: Bacterial small subunit ribosomal RNA
Source: RNAcentral
UACGAAGGGGGCUAGCGUUGCUCGGAAUCACUGGGCGUAAAGCGCACGUAGGCGGACUCUUAAGUCGGUGGUGAAAUCCUGGAGCUCAACUCCAGAACUGCCUUCGAUACUGAGAGUCUCGAGUCCGGGAGAGGUGAGUGGAACUGCGAGUGUAGAGGUGAAAUUCGUAGAUAUUCGCAAGAACACCAGUGGCGAAGGCGGCUCACUGGCCCGAUACUGACGCUGAGACGCGAAAGCGUGGGGAGCGAACAGG